ACGUCACAAGAAACGAAAAUCGCUCAACACAAAAAACCCUUAGAAAAAACAUGUCAAAUACAUGCCUGGACCUAGUAGAGAGAAUCCAGAGUAAGCGAGCCCUAACACCCUCAAAACCCGACUCACCAGAAGGUCUGGAACUCCCAAUCAUCCUUAAGUACCUACAAAUACUUAUAGAAGAAGGAACCCAAGCCAUACCCAACGACAUCCUCAGCGAAUGGAAGGCCCUCUUAAACAAGGUGCCCCCAAAGGUUGUCAAGCCCUCGUAAGAGGCACCUCUCGGAGUGGGCCAAGGCAGAGCGGAGGGGUUCGAAUCCCCUACGAUCAUCCCCUAGUUGGUGGGACGCACUGCUGACGAGCCACCUCCCUAAUCAAAGAGAGAAGGCAACUUCACUCAGGAGAUCAAGAUGAUCAGAUACCGUCGUAGUCCUGACCGUAAACUAUGCCGACUAGGGAUCGGGCGUUGUAUUUCAUGACCGCUCGGCACCUUAUAGAAAUCAAAGUCUUUGGGUACCGGGGGGGUAUGGUCGCAAGGCUGAACUUAAAGGAAUUGACGGAAGGGCACCACCAGGAGUGGAGCCUGCGGCUAAUUUGAUCACACGGGGAAACUCACCAGGUCCAGACAUAGUAGGAUUGACAGAUUGAGAGCUCUUUCUUGAUUCUAUGGGUGGUGGUGCAUGGCCGUUCUUAGUUGGUGGAGUGAUUUGUCUGGUUAAUUCCGAUAACGAACGAGACCUUAGUCUGCUAAAUAGUUGGGCUCACUUUGGUGGGGUUUCAACUUCUUAGAGAGACUUCUUACGCAUAGUGAGAGGAGUUUGAGGCAAUAACAGGUCUGUGAUGCCCUUAGAUGUUCUGGGCCGCACGCGCGCUACCAAUGAUGGAGGCAGCAAGUUAAUUCACCUUGGCCGGAAGGCCGGGUAAUCUUGUGAACUUUAUCGUGUUGGGGAUUGUCCUUUGUAAUUAUCGGACAUGAACGAGGAAUUCCUAGUAAGCGCAAGUCAUCAGCUUGCGUUGAUUACGUCCCUGCCCUUUGUACCACCGCCCGUCGCUACUACCGAUGAAUGCUUAGUGAGACCUCCGGAUCGACGAUUUUUGGGCCGCAAGCCUGAUGGUUGUUGAGAAGCUGGUCAACUGGUCAUUUAGAGGAAGUAAAAGUCGUACAAGGUACCGUAGGUGAACUGCGGUUG
Molecule: ribosomal RNA, 1187 nt
Filed under: Rhizoclosmatium globosum
Lineage: Eukaryota; Fungi; Chytridiomycota; Chytridiomycetes; Chytridiales; Chytriomycetaceae
Description: SSU rRNA
Rfam family: Eukaryotic small subunit ribosomal RNA (bases 320-1187)
Source: RNAcentral